RNAcentral lists this ribosomal RNA (253 nucleotides) under uncultured bacterium. Its description in RNAcentral is "partial 16S ribosomal RNA". It matches the Rfam family "Bacterial small subunit ribosomal RNA", at positions 524 to 776 of the family's 1533-position model. The record is from RNAcentral.
GACGAACCGUGCGAACGUUGUUCGGAUUCACUGGGCUUAAAGGGCGCGUAGGCGGGUCAGCAAGUCCGGGGUGAAAGCUUUCGGCUCAACCGGAAAAGGGCCUUGGAUACUGCUGGUCUGGAGGAAGGUAGGGGCGUGUGGAACUUCCGGUGGAGCGGUGAAAUGCGUAGAUAUCGAGAGGAACACCUGCGGCGAAGGCGGGUUGCUGGGCCGACACUGACGCUGAUGCGCGAAAGCCAGGGGAGCGAACAGG